CAUGCGGGGGGCUGCAGUGGGGAAUAUUGGACAAUGGGCGAAAGCCUGAUCCAGCCAUGCCGCGUGUGUGAAGAAGGCCUUCGGGUUGUAAAGCACUUUCAGUGGGGAAGAAAGCCUUGGGGCUAAUACCCUCGAGGAAGGACAUCACCCACAGAAGAAGCACCGGCUAACUCCGUGCCAGCAGCCGCGGUAAUACGGAGGGUGCGAGCGUUAAUCGGAAUUACUGGGCGUAAAGCGCGCGUAGGCGGUCUGAUAAGCCGGCUGUGAAAGCCCCGGGCUCAACCUGGGAACGGCAUCCGGAACUGUCAGGCUAGAGUGCAGGAGAGGAAGGUAGAAUUCCCGGUGUAGCGGUGAAAUGCGUAGAGAUCGGGAGGAAUACCAGUGGCGAAGGCGGCCUUCUGGACUGACACUGACGCUGAGGUGCGAAAGCGUGGGUAGCAAACAGGAUUAGAUACCCUGGUAGUC
This 465-nucleotide ribosomal RNA is filed under the name Vreelandella stevensii. Its description in RNAcentral is "partial 16S ribosomal RNA". It matches the Rfam family "Bacterial small subunit ribosomal RNA", at positions 338 to 795 of the family's 1533-position model. Lineage: Bacteria; Pseudomonadati; Pseudomonadota; Gammaproteobacteria; Oceanospirillales; Halomonadaceae. The record is from RNAcentral.